UAGGGAGACCUACCCAUAGAGAAAUCGAAAGCAAAGAGCAAAGAGAUUCUCAAAUGGUCUACUCUAGGUCGGUCGAGACUGGUUAGUUAUCUUUCAAAGUAUUAUUAAAGCUCUGGUCAAACUCAGCAACUAGGAAGAACCUAGACUGCUGGGUGAAUACCAGCCAGAACCUUGAAAACUGCAUAGUAACGCGAGGCAGUCAGUAAAAAACUGACAAAGAAACCAACGUAAAAGCCGU
Molecule: unclassified non-coding RNA, 238 nt
Filed under: Sphaerospermopsis eucompacta CHAB923
Lineage: Bacteria; Bacillati; Cyanobacteriota; Cyanophyceae; Nostocales; Aphanizomenonaceae
Description: partial 16S-23S ribosomal RNA intergenic spacer
Source: RNAcentral